AGUGAACGCUGGCGGUAGGCCUAACACAUGCAAGUCGAACGGCAGCACAGUAAGAGCUUGCUCUUACGGGUGGCGAGUGGCGGACGGGUGAGGAAUACAUCGGAAUCUACUUUUUCGUGGGGGAUAACGUAGGGAAACUUACGCUAAUACCGCAUACGACCUACGGGUGAAAGCAGGGGAUCUUCGGACCUUGCGCGAUUGAAUGAGCCGAUGUAGGAUUAGCUAGUUGGCGGGGUAAAGGCCCACCAAGGCGACGAUCCGUAGCUGGUCUGAGAGGAUGAUCGGCCACACUGGAACUGAGACACGGUCCAGCCUCCUACGGGAGGCAGCAGUUGGGAAUAUUGGGCAAUGGGCGCAAGCCUGAUCCAGCCAUACCGCGUGGGUGCAGAAGGCCUUCCGGUUGUAAAGCCCUUUUGUUGGGAAAGAAAAGCAGCAGGUUAAUACCCCGCUGUUCUGACGGUACCCAAAAAAUAAGCACCGGCUAACUUCGUG
This 492-nucleotide ribosomal RNA is filed under the name uncultured bacterium. RNAcentral's name for it is "partial 16S ribosomal RNA". It matches the Rfam family "Bacterial small subunit ribosomal RNA", at positions 29 to 507 of the family's 1533-position model. The record is from RNAcentral.